AACGAACGCUGGCGGCAUGCCUAACACAUGCAAGUCGAACGAGACCUUCGGGUCUAGUGGCGCACGGGUGCGUAACGCGUGGGAACCUUCCCUUAGGUUCGGAAUAACUCCCCGAAAGGGGUGCUAAUACCGGAUAAUGUCUUCGGACCAAAGAUUUAUCGCCUUUGGAUGGGCCCGCGUUGGAUUAGCUAGUUGGUAGGGUAAAAGCCUACCAAGGCGACGAUCCAUAGCUGGUCUGAGAGGAUGAUCAGCCACACUGGGACUGAGACACGGCCCAGACUACUACGGGAGGCAGCAGUGGGGAAUAUUGGACAAUGGGCGAAAGCCUGAUCCAGCAAUGCCGCGUGAGUGAUGAAGGCCUUAGGGUUGUAAAGCUCUUUUACCCGGGAUGAUAAUGACAGUACCGGGAGAAUAAGCUCCGGCUAACUCCGUG
Molecule: ribosomal RNA, 433 nt
Filed under: uncultured bacterium
Lineage: Bacteria
Description: partial 16S ribosomal RNA
Rfam family: Bacterial small subunit ribosomal RNA
Source: RNAcentral